GCCGAGCUAGGUAACGGUAGCUUGUGACCCGAGUGAGGACAGUAAGGUGAUGGAAGAAGUAAUGCUGGAGGAAGAAGAAGAUAGGACCUUAUUUAGUGUUUAUUCUUCUUUGGUAUAAUAGACAUAAGAGGUGUGCACUUGUACUUGUUAUACUGAAAAUCGCACACUCCACAGCGUAGAGGAAAUGCUGCAGUAGCUUCUUCUCCUCAAUAGUAAUGCUUCAACCGUCACCAUU
This 235-nucleotide non-coding RNA is filed under the name Phaseolus vulgaris (common bean). The record is from RNAcentral. Lineage: Eukaryota; Viridiplantae; Streptophyta; Magnoliopsida; Fabales; Fabaceae.